GUUUUGUUUUGUUUUGUUUUUGGAGAGUGGAUCGUAAGGAAGAGAGAUUGUUCAUAGAAUUUAUUUCAAAGCAAUAAUUAAUUUGUGCCAAACAUUUGUUUGUUUUGUGCCAAAACAUUUCAGAGAAAAUUUUAUUUUAACAAGAAUUGUUUUUUUAGGAUCUGCCAUAAUAAUUGCCUCUCCAGUCCAGCCUGUACUCCAAGGAAUGGUAGGGAUGAUCCCAGUAUCUGUGGUUGGACAGAAUGGAAAUAACUUUUCUACUCCUCCUCGGCAGGUAAGAUUUAUGAACUGAAAAUGGUGCGGUGAUGCUUUUCAAGCUUAGUGUAAUUAAUGGCUUUUUCUCUUCCAGGUUCUUCAUAUGCCUUUGACAGCACCUGUAUGCAAUAGAAGUAUCCCUCAAUUCCCCGUCCCUCCAAAAUCUCAGAAGGCUCAGGGACUAAGAAACAAGCCUUGUAUAGGAAAACAAGUAAAUAAUUUGGUGGAUUCGUCAGGUCAUUCAGUUGGAUGUCAUGCACAAAAAACUGAAGUUUCUGACAAAAGUAUUGCCACAGAUCUUGGGAAAAAAUCAGAAGAAACCACAGUUCCCUUCCCAGAAGAGAGUAUAGUUCCAGCUGCUAAACCAUGCCACAGACGUGUACUCUGUUUCGACAGCACUACUGCUCCUGUGGCAAAUACGCAGGGGCCAAACCAUAAGAUGGUGUCCCAAAACAAAGAAAGGAAUGCAGUCUCUUUUCCUAAUCUUGACUCACCCAAUGUGUCCUCCACCUUAAAACCCCCUUCUAAUAAUGCUAUCAAAAGAGAGAAAGAGAAGCCUCCUCUGCCUAAGAUUUUAUCUAAAUCGGAAAGUGCCAUUAGCCGGCAUACCACCGUAAGAGAAACUCAAUCAGAAAAGAAAGUUUCACCAACAGAAAUUGUGCUUGAAUCUUUCCAUAAAGCAACGGCUAAUAAGGAGAAUGAAUUAUGCAGCGAUGUAGAAAGGCAGAAAAAUCCAGAAAAUUCAAAACUAUCUAUUGGGCAGCAAAAUGGGGGUUUGCGAAGUGAGAAAUCUAUAGCUUCACUGCAAGAAAUGACCAAAAAACAAGGCACAUCUUCAAACAAUAAAAAUGUCCUUUCAGUAGGUACAGCUGUGAAGGAUCUAAAACAAGAGCAAACUAAAUCCGCCAGUUCUUUGAUUACCACAGAAAUGUUACAGGAUAUACAGAGGCACAGCUCAGUAAGUAGGCUUGCUGAUAGUAGUGAUUUACCUGUGCCCCGGACACCUGGCUCAGGGGCAGGGGAAAAACAUAAAGAAGAACCUAUAGAUAUUAUCAAGGCCCCCUCUAGUAGGCGUUUCAGUGAAGACAGUAGUACAUCAAAAGUAAUGGUCCCUCCUGUCACCCCAGACUUGCCUGCCUGCAGCCCUGCCAGUGAAACAGGCAGUGAAAACAGUGUAAAUAUGGCUGCCCACACAUUAAUGAUUCUCUCCAGGGCAGCCAUUUCUAGGACUACUUCAGCAACUCCUCUGAAAGAUAACACACAACAGUUUAGAGCAUCUUCAAGGAGCACCACAAAAAAGCGGAAAAUUGAGGAAUUAGAUGAACGUGAGCGAAACUCUCGUCCUUCUAGUAAAAAUCUUACAAAUUCAUCAAUACCAAUGAAAAAGAAGAAAAUUAAGAAAAAGAAGCUUCCCAGUUCAUUUCCAGCAGGAAUGGAUGUAGACAAAUUUUUGUUAUCAUUGCAUUAUGAUGAGUAAACAUUCUGGACACAUAAGAACAGUAGGUGUUAAAAACUCAUAUCCCUUAAACUGAGUGUAGGGAAUGGGAUAUUGACAGAAUCUGAAAGCAUGACCUGCACUUUCAUUGUACUGAAACUUCACUUUAUAUCUAAAUCAUGCUGUUUCUG
This 1881-nucleotide small RNA is filed under the name Pan troglodytes (chimpanzee). RNAcentral describes it as "retained intron". The record is from RNAcentral. Lineage: Eukaryota; Metazoa; Chordata; Mammalia; Primates; Hominidae.